This is a long non-coding RNA of Brachypodium distachyon (stiff brome), 898 nucleotides long. RefSeq lists it as uncharacterized. The record is from RefSeq and is a predicted model, not a curated record. The transcript is spliced from 2 exons. Lineage: Eukaryota; Viridiplantae; Streptophyta; Magnoliopsida; Poales; Poaceae.
GCCGCCUGUCUCUUCUGUGUCGCGAGCGUGGAGUGGGAGUGGCCGAUGGGUUUGCCUCAUCCUAAUCCCCAAUUUCACGUCUCCCGCCUGCUCAGACCGAACGCUCACGCCGACGCACGUGUUCAAACGGGGCCUUGGUAGGGCUCGAGGAACUCACGGCUACAACACAACCCAUUGGAUGGACCUGUUGCACGGAGCUGGGAUUUACAAUACUGACCUCCAAAAAACAUGUCCGGGCAAACUCACACACACAUGGCAACACAAAAGUCUUUGUUUCUAUCUCCAGAACCGCCGGAGAGAAGUAAGACGAACCAGGGCAGUGACCACCGCCAGUGGAAGGAAGAGCUUCAGCCGUCUCCGAAUGAUUGCCAUAUUGCAUGUGUUGCCAAAGAUACAUCCCAGAAAAUGGAGCAAAUCAUUGCCAGAGCACCACAAACAUGUGGAGUGGGAGGAAGGACUGAAGGAGAAGCCAUUGCCAGAUCAUGGAGGUACCUUGAUGGCUGCCCUUUCCAUAGAACACAAUAUCACUUUUAAUAUGAUUGAGAGAUCGCUGCUCCCAUCAAGAGUGCAUUCAAUCUCUAUUUGUCAUUCAGUGAACCAGCAAACUUCUGAACUGAGCCAUAUGGCCAUAUCACCUUAUGCAACAAACCAAGCAUUCCAUCAUUCCCCAGUCACUCUUCCCGAGUUCCCGUAAAAGAAAAAAAUUUAUCCCCCAGGAUAUAAAGGAGUGCCCUUCCUAGUUCUUCAACUGGAUGAUACUAACACAAUUUUCACCAUAGAAUACUUUGACAAACCUACAUAUUCUAGUCGUUCAACCAGUGACUUUGUAGGAUUCUAGUUGUUUAAACAACCAUGAUGAUCUAUGGAAUGGAAGCUUGCAGCCAUUUGUAUGCUGAAA